AACGAACGCUGGCGGCAGGCCUAACACAUGCAAGUCGAACGAGAAGCUUUCCUUCGGGAAAGUGGAAAGUGGCAGACGGGUGAGUAACGCGUGGGAACGUGCCUUUCGGUUCGGAAUAACUCAGGGAAACUUGGGCUAAUACCGAAUACGCCCUUCGGGGGAAAGAUUUAUCGCCGAAAGAUCGGCCCGCGUCAGAUUAGCUUGUUGGUGAGGUAACGGCUCACCAAGGCGACGAUCUGUAGCUGGUCUGAGAGGAUGAUCAGCCACACUGGGACUGAGACACGGCCCAGACUCCUACGGGAGGCAGCAGUGGGGAAUAUUGGACAAUGGGCGCAAGCCUGAUCCAGCCAUGCCGCGUGGGUGAAGAAGGCCCUAGGGUUGUAAACCCCUUUCAGCGGGGAAGAUAAUGACGGUACCCGCAGAAGAAGCCCCGGCUAACUCCGUGCCAGCCGCCGCCGUAACAC
RNAcentral lists this ribosomal RNA (464 nucleotides) under uncultured bacterium. Its description in RNAcentral is "bacterial SSU rRNA". It matches the Rfam family "Bacterial small subunit ribosomal RNA", at positions 29 to 526 of the family's 1533-position model. The record is from RNAcentral.